UCUCCCAGCCGCUCAGCUUGUGCACGGGUGCUGCUCCUCACCAGGCCGCCACGCGGGGUCUCCCGCCACUCCCAGCUUCUUUGUUGCUACAGCCUAGGCCAGCAAGUGGUUCCCGGCCGUCACGCCAACAUAAAGGCCACCAGGGUGACUGAGGCGCUGGACCUGUGUUUCUGGUUACCAUGGUAAGUGCAGGCGUGGCCCCAAGCCUUGGUACUCACUGGCCUAUAGCGCAAUGUGCUUUUAACUUGGAGCCCAGGGGCAGCCACUGUGCAGCAAGGGAGCCCACAGCUCCUGCCAGGUCCCUGCCUUCCUCAGGGCUGGGCUGCCACACACACCCAGGCCGGGGUGCAAGCACUGGGUUCCAGCGCCUUCAUCCUGCCGCAGGGCUGUGCUCCACCCCUGCACAGCCCCGUAUCUCCCUGGGCAGAGAUGGCACCCAGCUCACACCCCCACUGCCUGAUGAUGACAGAUGAUGUCACACCACUUGUGAGAGAGGAACAGUGAGUGUCUGAAGCAAAGGGAAGAAGCCCUGACUUUGGAAUCUAGGAGGCCCCGACGGGAAAUGAAGCUGCUGGGCGCAGAGAGGCUGGACCGAGGCCGGAGGCCCCCAGAGCUGUGCAGAGCCUCUGAUCUGGUAUCGGGAGAGGAUGCUGCCUGCUGGCCCUCGGGAGGCCAGGACUCUGCAAGACUACAUAUAAAAGCCAGGGAGCUGUGCUCGGACGUGCUUGGCGUGGGGCAAUACACGCCAGAGUGCUUCGGUGCUCUUCAGGGUCUUUGCGAGUUCUGACAGUUCCCACCGUGGGAUGCAUCAGUGAGGGGCCAGACCCACAGCUCAGCUCACUCAGCACAGUGCACACCAUAAGGAGCCAGAGGAGAGGCUGAAGCUCCCCAAGAAAAGGCAGACCACUGACAAAUGGACAAGGAAGAGAUCACCAAAUUAUCACCCAGCUUCUAAUUCCUAACCCUAGGCUUUAGGAAGAGAUUGAAAAAUGCAUUUAAAAUUCUGAGGGAAGUUUAUUUUGCACUUGGAAUUUUACACCCAACCAAACUAUUACUCAAGUGUGAUAGCAAAAUACACUGUCAUAAAUGAAAGAAUUAAAAGUCUUCUGUCCAUCUUCUGAGGCCCAUUAGAUUAGCUCUCUGCAGGAGGCCCUGACUGUGGUUUCCAAUACACCAACCCUUCUCAGCUCCAAGCAGCUAGAUGCAAACUACCAGCCUUCUCCCCUAACUGCACUGAGGGAUACCUCUUCCGAGAAGGGAACGUUAUAGACAGCUACAUGGGGUAGAAAUACAGUAGGCAAUCAGACAGAGCUGGGCGCUUGUGGGAGUGCGCGCAGAUGAGAAAGUAUCAGGAAGAUGAAAGGCAUGGGGCGAGUUUCACAUACUUCCCUUACAGAUGAAUGGAGACCUGGGAUUAAUGGUCUCACCCUUUUGAGAUUUCCCAGUACUCAUUAGGGGUGGGCCAUCCUCACCCACCUACUACGACUAAGGCUAUAGAUUAUCAACCAAGGUUAACGAUGUCGCUCAUGUACUCUUGCUACCAUUAGAUCAGUGUUACCUAUGAUACUUGCAAUUAUACUUGCAAUCUUAUCGGGUGAUCAUAAUUUUGACCCGUGUUGUACUCACAUCAUGAUUUUGCUCUAUCAAGCUUCCUUUGAGAGGCAGGCUUGUUGGCAGCCCUUUGGGAACCCCUCCUGUUUCUCAGCAGCUAUUCCUAAUUCCCAUUUCCCCAUUCCUAUGUCUCAUUCCUUUUCUCCCA
Long non-coding RNA from Chinchilla lanigera (long-tailed chinchilla), 1759 nucleotides. RefSeq lists it as uncharacterized. Lineage: Eukaryota; Metazoa; Chordata; Mammalia; Rodentia; Chinchillidae. The record is from RefSeq and is a predicted model, not a curated record. The transcript is spliced from 3 exons.